CUCUGGUUUAUGGAUUUCUGUUGAAUUGGUACUCACUAUUAGCCAGAUUGUUGCAUCGAUUGUUGUUUUGUCUGUGUCAAGGAAUGAGCAUCCACGAGCUCCAUUGUUUGAAUGGAUUGUUGGUUAUGCAUCUGGAUGUGUUGCAACCCUUCCUCUUCUUUAUUGGCGUUACCGACAACGCAGCCAGGUUUUGGGGCAAGAUUCAGCUCAACCUCGUCAAGGUUCUACGCAUAUUAGUGUUCCAGCAGGAC
This 251-nucleotide unclassified non-coding RNA is filed under the name Hevea brasiliensis (rubber tree). The record is from RNAcentral. Lineage: Eukaryota; Viridiplantae; Streptophyta; Magnoliopsida; Malpighiales; Euphorbiaceae.